CAGUAGCCGCGGUAAAACGAAGGUGGCAAGCGUUGUCCGGAAUUAUUGGGCGUAAAGCGCGCGCAGGCGGAUCGGUCAGUCUGUCUUAAAAGUUCGGGGCUUAACCCCGUGAUGGGAUGGAAACUGCCAAUCUAGAGUAUCGGAGAGGAAAGUGGAAUUCCUAGUGUAGCGGUGAAAUGCGUAGAUAUUAGGAAGAACACCAGUGGCGAAGGCGACUUUCUGGACGAAAACUGACGCUGAGGCGCGAAAGCCAGGGGAGCGAACGGGAUUAGAUACCCCAGUAGUCCCUGUCUCUUAUACA
RNAcentral lists this ribosomal RNA (301 nucleotides) under uncultured bacterium. RNAcentral describes it as "partial 16S ribosomal RNA". It matches the Rfam family "Bacterial small subunit ribosomal RNA", at positions 509 to 809 of the family's 1533-position model. The record is from RNAcentral.